UACGGAGGAUGCGAGCGUUAUCCGGAUUUAUUGGGUUUAAAGGGUGCGUAGGCGGAUUGAUAAGUCAGUGGUGAAAUUCUACAGCUUAACUGUAGACUUGCCGUUGAUACUGUUAGUCUUGAGUGUGGUCAAGGCAGGCGGAAUGUGUAAUGUAGCGGUGAAAUGCUUAGAUAUUACACAGAACACCGAUUGCGAAGGCAGCUUGCUGGGCCAUUACUGACGUUGAUGCACGAAAGCGUGGGGAGCGAACAGGA
Molecule: ribosomal RNA, 254 nt
Filed under: uncultured prokaryote
Description: partial 16S ribosomal RNA
Rfam family: Bacterial small subunit ribosomal RNA
Source: RNAcentral